Molecule: ribosomal RNA, 492 nt
Filed under: uncultured bacterium
Lineage: Bacteria
Description: partial 16S ribosomal RNA
Rfam family: Bacterial small subunit ribosomal RNA
Source: RNAcentral
AGUGAACGCUGGCGGUAGGCCCAACACAUGCAAGUCGAACGGCAGCACAGUAAGAGCUUGCUCUUACGGGUGGCGAGUGGCGGACGGGUGAGGAAUACAUCGGAAUCUACUUUUUCGUGGGGGAUAACGUAGGGAAACUUACGCUAAUACCGCAUACGACCUACGGGUGAAAGCAGGGGAUCUUCGGACCUUGCGCGAUUGAAUGAGCCGAUGUCGGAUUAGCUAGUUGGCGGGGUAAAGGCCCACCAAGGCGACGAUCCGUAGCUGGUCAGAGAGGACGAUCAGCCACACUGGAACUGAGACACGGUCCAGACUCCUACGGGAGGCAGCAGUGGGGAAUAUUGGACAAUGGGCGCAAGCCUGAUCCAGCCAUACCGCGUGGGUGAAGAAGGCCUUCGGGUUGUAAAGCCCUUUUGUUGGGAAAGAAAAGCAGCAGGUUAAUACCCCGCUGUUCUGACGGUACCCAAAGAAUAAGCACCGGCUAACUUCGUG